This 914-nucleotide ribosomal RNA is filed under the name uncultured bacterium. Its description in RNAcentral is "bacterial SSU rRNA". It matches the Rfam family "Bacterial small subunit ribosomal RNA", at positions 8 to 916 of the family's 1533-position model. The record is from RNAcentral.
AGAGUUUGAUCAUGGCUCAGAUUGAACGCUGGCGGCAUGCUUUACACAUGCAAGUCGAACGGUAACAGGGUGCUUGCACCGCUGACGAGUGGCGAACGGGUGAGUAAUGCAUCGGAACGUACCCAGUCGUGGGGGAUAACGUAGCGAAAGUUACGCUAAUACCGCAUACGUCCUGAGGGAGAAAGCGGGGGACCGUAAGGCCUCGCGCGAUUGGAGCGGCCGAUGUCGGAUUAGCUAGUUGGUAGGGUAAAGGCCUACCAAGGCGACGAUCCGUAGCGGGUCUGAGAGGAUGAUCCGCCACACUGGAACUGAGACACGGUCCAGACUCCUACGGGAGGCAGCAGUGGGGAAUUUUGGACAAUGGGCGAAAGCCUGAUCCAGCCAUGCCGCGUGAGUGAAGAAGGCCUUCGGGUUGUAAAGCUCUUUCAGCCGGAAAGAAAUCGCGCAGGAUAAUACUCUGCGUGGAUGACGGUACCGGAAGAAGAAGCACCGGCUAACUACGUGCCAGCAGCCGCGGUAAUACGUAGGGUGCGAGCGUUAAUCGGAAUUACUGGGCGUAAAGCGUGCGCAGGCGGUUAUGUAAGACAGAUGUGAAAUCCCCGGGCUCAACCUGGGAACUGCGUUUGUGACUGCAUAACUAGAGUACGGCAGAGGGAGGUGGAAUUCCGCGUGUAGCAGUGAAAUGCGUAGAGAUGCGGAGGAACACCGAUGGCGAAGGCAGCCUCCUGGGCCAGUACUGACGCUCAUGCACGAAAGCGUGGGGAGCAAACAGGAUUAGAUACCCUGGUAGUCCACGCCCUAAACGAUGUCAACUAGUUGUUCGGUGAGGAGACUCAUUGAGUAACGCAGCUAACGCGUGAAGUUGACCGCCUGGGGAGUACGGCCGCAAGGUUAAAACUCAAAGGAAUUGACGG